RNAcentral lists this ribosomal RNA (253 nucleotides) under uncultured bacterium. RNAcentral describes it as "partial 16S ribosomal RNA". It matches the Rfam family "Bacterial small subunit ribosomal RNA", at positions 524 to 776 of the family's 1533-position model. The record is from RNAcentral.
UACGUAGGGGGCAAGCGUUGUCCGGAUUUAUUGGGCGUAAAGAGCGUGUAGGCGGCUUCACAGGUCCGCUGUGAAAACUCGAGGCUCAACCUCGAGAUGUCGGUGGAAACCGUGUGGCUAGAGUCCGGAAGGGGAGAGUGGAAUUCCCGGUGUAGCGGUGAAAUGCGCAGAUAUCGGGAAGAACACCCGUGGCGAAGGCGGCUCUCUGGGACGGUACUGACGCUGAGACGCGAAAGCGUGGGGAGCGAACAGG